CCUUGAAAGAGUGCGUAAUAGCUCACUGGUCAAGUGGUUCUGCGCCGACAAUGUAGCGGGGCUCAAGCGUACCGCCGAAGCUGUGGCAGCAACACGUGAUUCUGGCGCCAGGAACUGGAGUGCUGGUGUGUUGUUGGGUAGGGGAGCGUCCUGCAUGAGGUGAAGCCUGGAGGUGACUUCUGGUGGAUUGUGUGGGAGUGAGAAUGCAGGCAUGAGUAACGAAUCUGCGGUGGGAAUCCGCAGCGCCGAUUGACUAAGGGUUCCAGGGCUAGGUUUAUCCGCCCUGGGUUAGUCGGGUCCUAAGGCGAGGCCGACAGGCGUAGUCGAUGGACAACCAGUUGAUAUUCUGGUACCGCGUUGUGACCGCCCGUGCUGAUGUCACUGUGCUAACCAAUUCGCCUGCACCCCCUCAUGACCUUCGGGUUGUGAGUGUGUGUGUGGGUCUUGGGGUCCUGGUGAUAGUAGGCAAGCGUGUUAACAGGGGUGACGCAGACAGGUAGCUGCAGUGCGCCGAUGGUUGUGCGUAUUUAAGGUUGUGGCCCGCCCCUCAGGUAAAUCCGGGGGGCGUGAGGGUGAGGACUGAUGA
This 586-nucleotide ribosomal RNA is filed under the name Actinomyces bouchesdurhonensis. Its description in RNAcentral is "partial 23S ribosomal RNA". It matches the Rfam family "Bacterial large subunit ribosomal RNA", at positions 1120 to 1569 of the family's 2925-position model. Lineage: Bacteria; Bacillati; Actinomycetota; Actinomycetes; Actinomycetales; Actinomycetaceae. The record is from RNAcentral.